AGGGUGUAAACGCUGCAGACUUGGUGUUGGAGGCCCUUUGGGGGCAUUCAGUGCCGGAGAGAAGUUGUUAAGUCUGCUACUUGGGGAGUACGUCCGCAAGGAUGAAACUUAAAGGAAUUGGCGGGGGAGCACCGCAACGGGAGGAGCGUGCGGUUUGAUUGGAUUCAACACCGUAAAACUCACCAGGGAAGACUGUUACAUGAAGGCCGAGAUGAAGACUCUGCUAGAUUUUCAGAGAGGUGGUGCAUGGCGUCAGUGACU
RNAcentral lists this ribosomal RNA (261 nucleotides) under uncultured archaeon. Its description in RNAcentral is "partial 16S ribosomal RNA". It matches the Rfam family "Archaeal small subunit ribosomal RNA", at positions 748 to 1008 of the family's 1478-position model. The record is from RNAcentral.